GACGAACGCUAGCGGCGUGCUUAACACAUGCAAGUCGAACGGAAAGGCCCUGCUUUUGUGGUGUGCUCGAGUGGCGAACGGGUGAGUCACACGUGAGUAACCUGCCCUUGACUUUGGGAUAACUUCAGGGAACUGGGGCUCAUACCGGUUAGGAGCUCCUGCUGCAUGGUGAGGGUUGGAUAGGUUCGGCGGUUGGGGAUGGGCUCGCGGCUUAUCAGCUUGUUGGUGGGGUAGUGGCUUACCAAGGCUUUGACGGGUAGCCGGCCUGAGAGGGUGACCGGCCAAAUGGGGACUGAGAUACGGGCCACACUACUACGGGAGACAGCAGUGGGGAAUAGUGCACGAUGGGCGGAAGCCUGAUGCAGCAACGCCGCGUGCUGGAUGGCGGACUUCGGGUGGUAAACCGCAUUCGCAUCUGACGAAGCGUGAGUGACGGUAAUGGGUAAAGAAGCACCGGCUAACUACGUG
Molecule: ribosomal RNA, 468 nt
Filed under: uncultured bacterium
Lineage: Bacteria
Description: partial 16S ribosomal RNA
Rfam family: Bacterial small subunit ribosomal RNA
Source: RNAcentral